Pelobates cultripes (western spadefoot toad) is the source of this 80-nucleotide non-coding RNA. NCBI's taxonomy places the organism in Eukaryota, Metazoa, Chordata, Amphibia, Anura, Pelobatidae. The record is from the annotation of a GenBank genome assembly.
CCUCUCCCUCCCACCCCCAAUCCCCGGUUGCUGAAGGGGUACCCCUUCAGCAACUGGGGAUUGGGGGUGGGAGGGAGAGU